UGGGGAAUCUUGGACAAUGGGCGCAAGCCUGAUCCAGCCAUGCCGCGUGGAUGAUGAAGGCCCUAGGGUUGUAAAAUCCUUUCGUUGGGGACGAUAAUGACGGUACCCAAAGAAGAAGCUCCGGCUAACUUCGUGCCAGCAGCCGCGGUAAUACGAAGGGGGCUAGCGUUGUUCGGAUUUACUGGGCGUAAAGCGCGUGUAGGCGGACUUGUAAGUUGGGGGUGAAAUCCCGGAGCUCAACUCCGGAACUGCCUCCAAAACUACAAGUCUGGAGCAAGAUAGAGGCAAGUGGAAUUGCGAGUGUAGAGGUGAAAUUCGUAGAUAUUCGCAGGAACACCAGUGGCGAAGGCGACUUGCUGGAUCUUUGCUGACGCUGAGACGCGAAAGCGUGGGGAGCAAA
Molecule: ribosomal RNA, 400 nt
Filed under: uncultured bacterium
Lineage: Bacteria
Description: bacterial SSU rRNA
Rfam family: Bacterial small subunit ribosomal RNA
Source: RNAcentral